GAGGAGGAGGAGGAGGAGGAGGAAGAGGGGGGAGUCAGAGCCGAGGGCUCACGGUGCAUGUAGCACAUCAGAUCUCCCUCAAUUAAUCCAACAUUAGGUGCCUGGGAUCCACGAGUCAGUGCUUUUGGAAAGCAUGUGUGGCUCAAAUCUAAUUAUUCUCUCCCUUUCUUUGAGCCGGAGAGGGUGGAGAGAGAUAGAGAGAGAGACAGAGAGAGAGAGUGGCCAUCCACGUAGCUGUAGAUUUUGUUAUGCUGUGAUUUCUCUCUCUCUCUCCCUUGCUCGCCCGCUCACUCCGAACCCCCUUCUACCCCCACCUCCUCCUCUCUCUCACUCAUUCUCCAUCUCUCGCUCACACACACGCGCGCCAAACACUCUCUCUCUCCUCCUCUGCCUCUCUCUCUCAGUCUGUCUCUCCCUCCCUCAGCUUCACUCGCUCUUGUGCUGUAAGUUCAUUCGCUGUGUCAAGCAACAACUGGCUCGGGAGUGGGCAGUGGGUUUUGAUCCUUUUGUCAAGCAUCCCCCCUGCAAGUGUGUACCGCGUCCACCUGCACACCGCGGGACUGGCCGCCUGGCUCUCUCUAACAUCGCCGUACCAUCCUGGGUUUAUCACGAUCCGGCAUCCCACCUUGCUGAGAUGGACGGCACAAUGAGAUGCUAAAGGUUUGACGGGGCGAACCUGCUACUUUGGACUAUCAUCAUCACCAUCAUCGGGAUCAUCGCAGUGGCAAUGGGAGUCAGGACAUGGAUGCUAGCCGGAGGAUCUCCGCAGGGUCCUUGCAUCCCAGACGAGCCGUUGAGAAGCCCUUGCCUUGCGCUACAAAGCAUCUUCAAUCAAUUGUUUUGAAAAGGCCUUUCCGUUUUCUGACGAUGCCGGCGGUUCUGUUGUUUCUCUCUGUAAAGGACUCUCUUCGGUGACGGGUAUUCUUGGGUGGAUAAUACGGCUCUCGUUGUUAUUGCUUAAGAAUACGCGUAGUCGAGGAGAGUCAUGUCGGCGGCAACUGCAAUGGACUAGAGAGAGCGUUGAAUCCAGAAGGCCCACCUGCCUGCACGCACACAUGCGUUUGCUAACGCCGAGGUUCACGCCCACAUCCAUUUAUUGAGUCAGUGAAGCUGCAUUUCCUGUUUGUGUGUGAUGCUUGUGCUGUUGAUUUAUCCGGCUACUCCUGCUUUUCAGCCAGCGCAAAGGAAAAACUGUGUUUUUUAUGAUUCGCCGUCCUCACUCCAAAGGCUGUAUAUUGUACCGUCCCGGGCUGGGUUGUAGAUGCAAAUGUGUUCCAUUUGUGUCAUAUAUUCUUUUUUCUCAGGACCGCACACACACUCUACCUUUUUAAUGCAAAUUGAUUUUGAAAUGACAUUUAUCGUGCAGGGGUUCCAUAUGGUACACCGGGGGGGGUUGGAUGAAAAAAAAAAAAAAUGAAUGGAAUGUCCACGAUGCCACUGACAGCUAAAUUUAUGCAGAUUGUAAAGGAACACACUGCAGAUAAACAGUUACCACGGCUUUAGAUUGACCGCGGCGUGGCUUCCCGUGUAGGCACGCGUAUAUCAUGAAUAUGUAUUACGCGAGCAUAUGAUGCUGCAUUCUAACAUCCAUGAAAUCCAUUUAGGGAACCUAAUAGGAUCUACUUGACUUAUGAAAGCUUAUGAUCAAAUCUUAUAAAUAUACAUGAGAUAGUUUUAUGUGAAAAAAAAAGGAUUCUUUUGCUUUUUUAUAUAGAUGUAGUUUGCAUAAAAACGAAGAGACUGCAUUCGGACUGGCUGUUGAUGUAUUGACAUGGACGAUUUGCAAAUCUGCAAACAUUUGAAUUUGUUCUCCAUUAUCUUUCGGCACAUUUAAGUCAUGCAUUAGCAUUUGAGAUAGACUAAAGGCAACAAUCAGCCCGCUCUGUCCUUGAUCACUCUGUAAUUAUCAUUCUUUCGGCUGUGUGUUUAAAUGAGUAGAGAGAAAAGAGGUGUGGAGGAGGAAUAAUGUAAUGUUUUACCACUAGGGGACCCACACAACUGAAAAUCACAGCAGCUGGUUAACUUUUAAGUAAUUUUUAUAUAAUUUUAAGGUGUUUGAGGUUCAAAACUAAUAGAAAUAUUUGGCUAGAUGAAUAUAGCUUAGAACUAGAUCUGUAAAAAAUAAUGUGAUUGUCUUUUAUUCUUAGCAUGUACAUUCAAAAUGAAUGGCGGUUCAUUUAUUCCUUUAUUAAUUUGUGCCGAACAGUGCCUUAGGAGUGACAGUUAGGUCACAUGCAACCCUAACAAUUAUCUGUUAUAUUAGAAUAUUUUCCUGAAUGUGAGAUUAAAAUGAUUUUUUUAAACUAAAAUAUUUUACAUUCAUAGUUCUGAUGUCAUUUUUAUUGAUGCUGUUUAGUAAAUACCUCGCUGUAAACUCCUCACACAGCUUAACUUCCAUCUGUCUGCAGUUUAUGACGUGAUGAAAUUAUUCAGGCCUCUGCAGCUCGUCUUCAUUUGUUCUUUAUUGAAAUUAUUUUUAUGUGCACAUCGUCUUUGUUCCUCCCUCUCCAUAUCAUAAAUAAAGCUUUAUUUAAGUAAAAUGAUGAUGCAUUUGUAUAUUUUGUCCUUUUAUAUAUUAAGAAUCGGUUUUAAAUGUUUUUUGCUUGGUCGUUUGACACCAUUUAGCGCUCUUAUCUUCUUGUUGUCUGAGCUUGUGGCAUUCGACGGCUUGCAGUUUAUUUCGCAAGACAAAAUGUAACAGAAAACAGACAUAAUAGACGCCUUUCUGGUCAUCAUCACAUCUUUAGAAUAAGAGUGAGAUGUUUUAGUGACAGGACUCAGCGUCCAUUACCCUAUAUUCUGAUCAUUCAUAGGAUCGAUGCUUCUGUUUAUGUCUCUGUUCUGCUCUCAGACAUUUGAAUUCACUCAGUUGCAAAAGCCUUUAAUUACAGAAACAUUGUCUCUGCAGUGACUUUAAUUAAUUUUAAAGGAUUUGAGAUACUGACAAAAAGUGGAGCAUGUUUGGCUACAAUUAUAUUAAUAAAAAAGGCCAUUUUGUCCCAUCUAAUGGAGGCCAAAUUAUGUAAGCUUUAU
Long non-coding RNA from Carassius auratus (goldfish), 3033 nucleotides. RefSeq lists it as uncharacterized. The record is from RefSeq and is a predicted model, not a curated record. The transcript is spliced from 3 exons. Lineage: Eukaryota; Metazoa; Chordata; Actinopteri; Cypriniformes; Cyprinidae.